RNAcentral lists this small RNA (128 nucleotides) under Roseburia hominis. Its description in RNAcentral is "Ribosomal protein L10 leader". It matches the Rfam family "Ribosomal protein L10 leader", at positions 10 to 133 of the family's 138-position model. From Rfam's summary of the family: This family is a putative r-protein leader autoregulatory structure found in B. subtilis and other low-GC Gram-positive bacteria. It is located in the 5' untranslated regions of mRNAs encoding ribosomal proteins L10 and L12 (rplJ-rplL). Lineage: Bacteria; Bacillati; Bacillota; Clostridia; Lachnospirales; Lachnospiraceae. The record is from RNAcentral.
AUAUAAUGGCCGAAGACAGCAGGUGCCGUAAGGCGUAAUCGCAGAGCCUGCCGAGGGACUUUCAUGAGCAAUCAUUGAGAAUGAGAUUCUGAUCCCUCUCUGUCUAGGCAGAGAGGGAUUUUUAUAUC